This 253-nucleotide ribosomal RNA is filed under the name uncultured bacterium. RNAcentral describes it as "partial 16S ribosomal RNA". It matches the Rfam family "Bacterial small subunit ribosomal RNA", at positions 524 to 776 of the family's 1533-position model. The record is from RNAcentral.
UACGUAGGGGGCAAGCGUUAUCCGGAAUUACUGGGUGUAAAGGGUGAGUAGGCGGCAUGGUAAGCCAGAUGUGAAAGCCUUGGGCUUAACCCGAGGAUUGCAUCUGGAACUAUCAAGCUAGAGUACAGGAGAGGAAAGCGGAAUUCCUAGUGUAGCGGUGAAAUGCGUAGAUAUUAGGAAGAACACCAGUGGCGAAGGCGGCUUUCUGGACUGAAACUGACGCUGAGGCACGAAAGCGUGGGGAGCGAACAGG